This 3919-nucleotide long non-coding RNA is filed under the name Homo sapiens (human). RNAcentral's name for it is "HSALNT0292730". The record is from RNAcentral. Lineage: Eukaryota; Metazoa; Chordata; Mammalia; Primates; Hominidae.
ACAAAGGAGAGAUGUUACCUGUAAAAACACUGCACUUUUCUUCAAAACAUUUUUAAUUCUAAAAAUGUUAGUGAGUUUUUAAAGAAGCCAGCUGAUAGCCUGUUCUCUAUUAUUUUUCUCAAUAUAUGUUUUAGAAAGAGAACUUUUGUUAUCCAUCUGCCCUUACAUAAGAAACUGGAGAAAUUAGCUUUGCAAGCAUGUCACAUCAUCAUUUGCAUUCUGUUGGCAGGGGAUAGAUGAGUAUUUUAGAGGAUGUGAGCUGUAAGUGUUUCAAAUAUUUGGGUUUUCAAAAAUGUAUACUUAAUUAUAAGAAUUGCCUUUUGCUUUAGCCAAUUCUGGGUAGCAAGAAUGAAAAGUCAGCACCUCUCAAGUGACCUCUAAGCAGGAAUAAGUAGCCCUUUUUUAACCCACUCUUAACCCUGUUGUUGUUCAUUUGUUUUGUUUACUGAAAAAGUAAAGUUAAAAUUUUUAAAAAAUGUGUCUGCAUAUGUUAAGCACAGCAAAACGCAAAAAAAGUAUAGGUGUUACAGGUGCUUUCAAGAAGCACUCUUUAAAAUCUUGUUUUUACCUUUUAGAUAUUUAGAAAAAUAUAACCUAUAAAUUAUCCCGAAUAGAUGACCAACAUCGAAACUUGAAAGUGCCAACAGGUGAUGCAGAUCAUGAUGUGUGCUUCCAUAUAAGAUAACAUCAAAAUGAAAUACCUGUGAAGUUUUUGUCGGUAGCACAGAACAAAUUAUUUGUUCCAUAAUUAUUUUUAAAAAGCAGAAAAUGUGUUUGUAACAUUUAAGAAAUGGCAUGGGAUUGUCAUAGAAACUCAUUCUGAACACUGUAAAUAAAAAUGGUUGGGGAUUAGUCACAGUAACAUGUAGGACAUCAUGAAAUUCAAGACAGAUUUCUUUGUCUAACAGUCAAUCCUGGUCUUGACUUUUAUUUGAGCUUUUUAUCUAGAAAAGAUGAUUUGGUGAUGAUGGAGUAAUAUAGUAACUGCUCUAGCUUAUAUGGUGUUUUUGGCAUGGUUACUUAAUCCUAAGCUCUGAGAGGCACAGGAAGUAAAAGAAAAGUUAAAGAUGACAAUUAAGGUGUUGGGCCCAGUUAGAUAUAGUGAAGUCAGAAUUUUCCCUCAUUAAAACUGUUAGACCAAUUUCAUUAGACGGAAAUGCACCCACAUAUGUAAAUCUUCUUUGUUUAAUUGGAGACCUAUUGAUUGUAGGUAACAUAAGCCUCUCUAAGGGAAACAGAACCCAACUGAAGAUAAGAGUUUCUUCCCCCCAACACAUACAGCAUUCAUGAUUUUAUUUCUCUAGGCGUGUUCAUUAUCAAAAUCAUUCUACUGCAGACUUUCCCAUAAAGUGUUUCUGUCUGGCCCUGUUUUCAUAUCUAAAAGCUUCUAGUGGUUUCAGCAAGAAAUGAUGGAAACAUUUUGACAGAAUAUAUAUUUCUUUUUUUAAAACUAAGAUCUUAAAAUUAAAGAGAAACAAAAACUUACAAAAUCACAUGAAAAUAUAAUGCUUUAAAGAGACUGAGAAUAAUUGUCUUCUUUUGUGCUUUCAUAGAAUGCUAAAAGAAACCAAAUUCUGAUCUUCUUUGUGUUCAUCUCACAUUAGGUUUGUAUUCCAUCCGGAAUUUGUGUAUGGUGUGAGAGAAAGGACAAGACCUGACCUAGUUUUGUUAAUUUUCCUCUUAUUUUUAAAAAUUUUAUGGUUUGGUAUAUGCUACCAUAAUUGAAACCUCAGAUUCUCCUCACAAAUUACUUUAUGCCAAGUGGUAUAGUAUCUGUUAAUUAGUGGGUAAAUAGUGUUUUUAAAGAAUGCAGUCAUCUAAAAUUUCAAAAUAUAAGGCUCAUUUGUAUGAAUUAAUUAUUUUAGAUGGCAAAUGAGGAAAAUUAUUUCCAGAUUAUUUUUUCUUAUAUUUUUUUAAAAGUUGGCUUUAAGGGAGCACGUUUCUCUUUGAGGGUGGCCUGUUUCAUUGUCAAUAUUUGCUCUUCAUUGGAAGCUGAGGUCAUGUCAGAGUUACUCAGGAGAAAGACCUGGACUUUUCUUCUUAUCUUUUAAUGGUUUAUCAUUGAUAAGUUUGGACAUGAUGUCCCUAGAUUCAAAGGGGAAGAGGCAAAAUGUAUUAAAUGCUGUCUUACACAUAGACUACAAGGGAUUUACUUGGCCAGGGAGAGAACAGGGUUGAUUCUGAGCUGGAGAGAAUGAGGAUGGCUUCUGUGAAGGAGAUGACCUAAAGCAGGGCCUCGAAGUUUAAGGUCUUAUGUUUAGGAACUAGUUUCUCUCCACCUUAAUCCUUUAUUGUCAAGUCUGCAAUAAUGUUAAGAACAGGAAAAAAAAAUGUAGAUUCCUGGAUAGGCACAGUUUUUAUAUUAAUGUAACUAUAUAGGCAUAGUUUUUAUAUUAAUGUAACUAUACAGCACCUAUUUUUGUGUUUUACUAUUACUUGGCAGACAUCUUGAGUGUUUUACAAGGUUAUCGUAUAUUUCACUAAUAAUCGUUGCUUGAUAAUUUGGUGUCCUGACAGACUGCAGUUUAUUAUUUAGUAUUAAAGCUCUCAAAUGUAUUUAUUGAGCACCUGCUGGGUACAAGGCUUUGAGCUUAGUGAUGAAAGCAUAUGACAUAGUCUGUAGCCUCAAAUUUUCUAUAAUCUCGUGAUAAAAAGACUGAAGGCCAUUAUGGCUGGACAGUUAAGGGAGAGUGACCUAAAUAAAGUUCAUAUUGGCGGGAGAGCAGCUUGCCACAGGGUUACACAGAAUAGGCAGUGGUGGUCCACAUAAUUAAUAGCUUUAUCAUAUGAGAUUUAAGGAUUGUUUGGAAAUAUUGUUAGAAUCAAAAUCAACGUUUGUUACUACACAGGGUUGAGCAUUCCAGGCACACUCUGGUCGUUUUGUUAUUCUAAUGUCCACUUAUUUCAUGUCUGCCGUGACCGUGACAGUUUUCAGUCACACAGAGCUGCCAUCAAAAGAGUGAUAAGCUUGUAAGUGAAGCCUUUGGGGAAGCAAUAAAGUCAUUUUUCUGGUCCCAUCUCAAAAGACAUUAUUGGAAAUUUAUUUAAAAGUGAUCAAGGUAGCACAUACGAGGCCUUCUACAGUUUGCAUUUUGGAAGUUAUUAACAAUCUGCAGUUAAGUCCAUUUAAAACUGAAAGUGGCUCUUCCACAAACUACUUUUUAAAUAGCUUGCUGGUUCUAAAUUUAAGGAGAAUGGAAAUAUUGGAAAUUAAAAGUCAAAAGAAAUUUCUGGGGCAUAAGAUCCUUUCAAGUUUACAAUUUCUCACUUUAGAUUUAAAACUUGAACACGGCCAUACUUUGCAUUUUAUGAUAUCUAAUUAGUGCCUUGUAAUAUAUUUUGUGAACAGUAUCUGUUAGCCAUAAUAUCAGGGACAGUUUAAAAAAUCUUCAGUACAUUUAUGAUAAAAGUAUUAGCAUUGUAAGGUCUUAAAUUGACAUCUAGGACAUUAGGAAAUCAAAUUUAAAGCAUUGCAUUGUCUGUUACUCAAUGGAGUGGACUGAGGACAGCGUGUGACUUGUGUACUGCAAAUGAUGCAAUAGCUAAAUAUCCUAGUGUGAGUUAAGGUUGAUUAAGUGAUCAUCUUUAACUCUGCUUUUCCCAGGGCUCUUUGAACUCUUGUUUUAUUAGGUAAUAUGCUAUGCUGUUAUUUUAUUGCUGUUUAAAAAACCUUCUCUUUUGGGAAAGAAAACAUGUGAAUUCUUUGGUUUCUAGAUAGAAAUUAGCAAUCUUUUGCUCGGAAUGUAAAAGUAUGCUGUAUUAUCACAAACUGACCCUCCUCCUCCCCAAGAAUUCUAGGGAGUAAAAUGCGUGCACAGGAAAUCAGAAAUGGAUCAACAGAGUUAUAGGUUUUAAAAAAACUGCCUUGCAUUUUUGCCCUGGAAUUAAUUUUCAGUGAAAAUUAAAAUAUUUUUUCUGU